GGAAGUAAAAGUCGUAACAAGGUCUCCGUAGGUGAACCUGCGGAGGGAUCAUUACACAAAUAUGAAGGCGGGCUGGAACCUCUCGGGGUUACAGCCUUGCUGAAUUAUUCACCCUUGUCUUUUGCGUACUUCUUGUUUCCUUGGUGGGUUCGCCCACCACUAGGACAAACAUAAACCUUUUGUAAUUGCAAUCAGCGUCAGUAACAAAUUAAUAAUUACAACUUUCAACAACGGAUCUCUUGGUUCUGGCAUCGAUGAAGAACGCAGCGAAAUGCGAUAAGUAGUGUGAAUUGCAGAAUUCAGUGAAUCAUCGAAUCUUUGAACGCACAUUGCGCCCUUUGGUAUUCCAAAGGGCAUGCCUGUUCGAGCGUCAUUUGUACCCUCAAGCUUUGCUUGGUGUUGGGCGUCUUGUCUCUAGCUUUGCUGGAGACUCGCCUUAAAGUAAUUGGCAGCCGGCCUACUGGUUUCGGAGCGCAGCACAAGUCGCACUCUCUAUCAGCAAAGGUCUAGCAUCCAUUAAGCCUUUUUUUCAACUUUUGACCUCGGAUCAGGUAGGGAUACCCGCUGAACUUAAGCAUAUCAUAGCGGAGGA
RNAcentral lists this ribosomal RNA (592 nucleotides) under Alternaria alternata. RNAcentral describes it as "eukaryotic LSU rRNA". The stretch from base 220 to 373 matches the Rfam family "5.8S ribosomal RNA". Lineage: Eukaryota; Fungi; Ascomycota; Dothideomycetes; Pleosporales; Pleosporaceae. The record is from RNAcentral.